GAUGGAUUAAUGUUGUAUAUAUAUAUUAGAUAAUAGUUUUAGACCAGCCUCCGCUAUCUAUUUCUCAUACAGUAAAGUAAUAAUAUGUAACCAAAUACAAUGUCAUCAAUGAGAAUGACUUUAAUUUCUUUUGGUGGAAUAAUUUAACAAAAUUUUUUUACUUGACUAUAAAUUUUAAAAAUUUUGGUUAAACUCUUUCUGAAAUGGAAUAAACUUUGAGAUUUUUACGAUAUGAUGUACUCAAGUUGUAUGCCAAAUUUAAUAAACCCUCAUCUCUUUUAGAUAUAAUUUCAAAGAGGAAUACUUACUACCUUUGCCUAUCCUUUGAACGUGAUGAAAUCAAGAGCCAAUAUUUCCCUUUAGCCAAAAGCCACCUUUCCUUAGUAGCUUGUAUU
This 395-nucleotide unclassified non-coding RNA is filed under the name Hevea brasiliensis (rubber tree). Lineage: Eukaryota; Viridiplantae; Streptophyta; Magnoliopsida; Malpighiales; Euphorbiaceae. The record is from RNAcentral.